This 645-nucleotide ribosomal RNA is filed under the name uncultured earthworm cast bacterium. Its description in RNAcentral is "bacterial SSU rRNA". It matches the Rfam family "Bacterial small subunit ribosomal RNA", at positions 36 to 684 of the family's 1533-position model. The record is from RNAcentral.
CUGGCGGCGUGCUUAACACAUGCAAGUCGAGCGGAAAGGCCACUUCGGUGGUACUCGAGCGGCGAACGGGUGAGUAACACGUGNAGUAAUCUGCCCUCCACUUUGGGAUAAGCCCCGGAAACGGGGUCUAAUACCGGAUAUGACAGCUUGGCGCAUGCUGGGUUGUGGAAAGUUUUUUCGGUGGGGGAUGUGCUCGCGGCCUAUCAGCUUGUUGGUGGGGUAAUGGCCUACCAAGGCUUCGACGGGUAGCCGGCCUGAGAGGGUGACCGGCCACACUGGGACUGAGACACGGCCCAGACUCCUACGGGAGGCAGCAGUGGGGAAUAUUGGACAAUGGGCGGAAGCCUGAUCCAGCAACGCCGCGUGAGGGAUGACGGCCUUCGGGUUGUAAACCUCUUUCAGCGGGGACGAAGCGCCGGUAAUGGUGGUGACGGUACCCGCAGAAGAAGCACCGGCCAACUACGUGCCAGCAGCCGCGGUAAUACGUAGGGUGCGAGCGUUGUCCGGAAUUAUUGGGCGUAAAGGGCUCGUAGGCGGUUUGUCGCGUCGGGAGUGAAAACACCGGGGCUUAACUCGGUGCUUGCUUUCGAUACCGGGCAGACUAGAGGCAUGCAGGGGAGAACGGAAUUCCUGGUGUAGCGGUGA